This 340-nucleotide ribosomal RNA is filed under the name Carrikerella sp. MN563. RNAcentral's name for it is "partial 12S ribosomal RNA". The record is from RNAcentral. Lineage: Eukaryota; Metazoa; Arthropoda; Insecta; Mantodea; Thespidae.
AUACCCUAUUAUUUUUAAUGUAAAAUUGAUAAAAGCUUGAGUAUUAAUAGGCAAAUCUUUAAACUCAAAGAAUUUGGCGGUAUUAUAAUCUUUUUAGAGGAAUCUGUUAUAUAAUCGAUAAUCCGCGUUGAAUCUUACUUAUUUAAUUUUUCUUGUAUAUCGCUGUUUUAAUGAAUAUAUUUUAAGAUGGAAUUUUCUGGAUAGUAAGUUUAAACUAAUAUUUCAAGUCAAGGUGCAGUAAUAGAUAAGUUAAUUUAAUGGAUUACAAUAAAUUUUAUUUAUAAGAAAAAUGAAUUAUUAUUUGGGAUUAUAAUAUGAAGGUGAAUUUAAUUGUAAUUUU